CCGCCUCCACAGCUGACCACACACAAGGAGAAAUAAUUGCAGGAGCAAAACAACUUCUUGUCAAAGCAGGCAAAUGGACCCUUAGGCAAAGUGGAUGGAAGAGAUGGUGGUGAUGCGAACUUGUUCAUACCAUCUUGGCUGGUUUGUCUCAUUAGUAAAUAAUGACUAAGGAGAGGAAACUUCUUUUUGCUUUCAAGCCAGAAAAGUUAUUUGUCAAAAUAAUUAUGUUUUUAAUUUUGUUUUAUUCAGCGCCAAACAUGCCCAUCUUAAUGAGGUAGGUAUUAUGUGCAUGAUACUAUGUAUUUCGUGUUUGCGAUGCUAAUUAAAUUGUUGAUAAGAAAAUACUUGACACUUUCAUAUAGUACUUUAAUACCAAAAGAAAAAGAAAGUGUCUUAUGUGAGUUCUGUUUUUGGCUGGUGCGUAACUCUUAUUUCAAGGCCAACGUAUGAGGCUGUUUAUUUGUAUGUUUCAUUUGAAAGCUUACUUCUGCAUUUUGGUUGAUGGCCUUGGAGUAAAGCAAAUACAUGGAUUUCUUUCUGAAGACUUUUAUUCAAAGAAAAACUAGGAUCAGUGAGUUCUUGCUAUGUAUGCGUGUUCUUUAUUUACUUAAAGCAUUUGGAUUAAUAGUGAGUAUUUUACACAUUGAAUCCAGAACUCCCAUGUAACAUUUUUAUGUCAAUUUUAGUUCUAGUGCUAUGUCAACCUUGAUUUGAUGUGUGAAGCCCAUGCCUAGACCUAUGUAAUGACCAAAGUCAUGAAAUUGAUGCAAAAUAGGUAAAAAGGGGAACUAAAUGAGUUGAAGAGAUGUGAGAGUUUGGUCUAUAAUGGAUUGGAAGAAGUAUAAGGAGGCAAGUGAAAGGAACAGGGGUUAUUGGCUUGAGGAUGCAGUGGAAAUCUCAUGUAGUAAGAGCUUUAGUUAUUAGUAUAGAUUCUAUUUAAUAGGAACUUCGGUCGGUUAUUGAAAUUAAUGACCUUACAAGGAUAUAAUGGUAUCCUUUGCAAACUUAUCUUAACAGAUUUAUAAAUAUGUCUUCACAGUUUUUUGUCUCAAUUAUGUGCUUGUCUUUUUUUUUUUUUUUUUGGGUUAAAAAGAAGCAUUCCCGAGAAGGGGAAAGAAUGAUCAAUGCCUUGUAUAUUUUGCAAUGAAAGACACUGGGACUUGCAUUUUGAUAUGUCAUAUGAAUGAUUUAGCAGUCAUAUAUUGUGCUACUUCUUGUUGUUUCAUUUUGCUUACAUGAGGUUUGCCCUAUGCAACUACCAUGAUAAUCCUGCAGAGCUGUCGAAUGAGUUGUGCAGGUCCAUUUGUGCUCCUUCCAUCCAUUGCUAAUAUUUGCCGUUCAUUUAACAGAAAAUUCCGGAUCACACUGAUUAAAAAUUAGUUGAGCAUCGAACUCCAGACAUUGUUCUUACAAGCAGAACUAGAGUUUACAGUAUUGGAAACAGGAAAGAUAGAUUUCAUCGGAAAUGGAGCGCCUUUGUUGCAGAUCAUAACCUCCAAGAUAGAGACGUUCUACUCUUUCUUCCUCAAUCUCACACUUUGUUUGCUUUGUUAAUCUUUGAAACCUAUGGAAUAGAAAUUAUUUACCCCUGGCAUCACAUGUUCAUGAUUUAAAUAUUAUGUUUGUAGAUUCUGAAUUAUCAGUGAAAUUGGUCGUCCGAUGUAAUGAAAUGAUUUGUGGUUCGUACUUAAGAAUGACUUCAGUAGAUUUAACCUUUUUCCA
Long non-coding RNA from Coffea eugenioides, 1722 nucleotides. RefSeq lists it as uncharacterized. The record is from RefSeq and is a predicted model, not a curated record. The transcript is spliced from 4 exons. NCBI's taxonomy places the organism in Eukaryota, Viridiplantae, Streptophyta, Magnoliopsida, Gentianales, Rubiaceae.